GUGAGGAAUAUUGGUCAAUGGGCGAGAGCCUGAACCAGCCAAGUCGCGUGAAGGAAGAAGGAUCUAUGGUUCGUAAACUUCUUUUGCAGGGGAAUAAAGUGCGGGACGUGUCCUGUUUUGUAUGUACCCUGAGAAUAAGGAUCGACUAACUCCGUGCCAGCAGCCGCGGUAAUACGGAGGAUCCGAGCGUUAUCCGGAUUUAUUGGGUUUAAAGGGUGCGUAGGUGGUUUGAUAAGUCAGCGGUGAAAGUUUGCAGCUUAACUGUAAAAAUGCCGUUGAAACUGUCGGACUUGAGUGUAAAUGAGGUAGGCGGAAUGCGUGGUGUAGCGGUGAAAUGCAUAGAUAUCACGCAGAACUCCGAUUGCGAAGGCAGCUUACUAAGCUACAACUGACACUGAAGCACGAAAGCGUGGGGAUCAAACAGGAUUAGAUACCCUGGUAGUCC
This 445-nucleotide ribosomal RNA is filed under the name uncultured bacterium. RNAcentral describes it as "partial 16S ribosomal RNA". It matches the Rfam family "Bacterial small subunit ribosomal RNA", at positions 354 to 796 of the family's 1533-position model. The record is from RNAcentral.